GUGGGGAAUCUUAGACAAUGGGCGCAAGCCUGAUCUAGCCAUGCCGCGUGAGCGAUGAAGGCCUUAGGGUUGUAAAGCUCUUUCAGCUGGGAAGAUAAUGACGGUACCAGCAGAAGAAGCCCCGGCUAACUCCGUGCCAGCAGCCGCGGUAAUACGGAGGGGGCUAGCGUUGUUCGGAAUUACUGGGCGUAAAGCGCACGUAGGCGGAUCAGAAAGUCAGAGGUGAAAUCCCAGGGCUCAACCUUGGAACUGCCUUUGAAACUCCUGAUCUUGAGGUCGAGAGAGGUGAGUGGAAUGCCGAGUGUAGAGGUGAAAUUCGUAGAUAUUCGGAGGAACACCAGUGGCGAAGGCGGCCAACUGGACGGGAACUGACGCUGAGGUACGAAAGCGUGGGGAGCAAACAGGAUUAGAAACCCUGGUAGUCC
Molecule: ribosomal RNA, 425 nt
Filed under: uncultured bacterium
Lineage: Bacteria
Description: bacterial SSU rRNA
Rfam family: Bacterial small subunit ribosomal RNA
Source: RNAcentral